CCGUAAGCGGCACGCGCGUGCCGUGGCGGCCCGUGGUGGCGUUGGCGCGGUGCUCCGCCCUCUCCUGGUGCUCGUCGGCCUUGGCCUGUGCCUUGCCGGCCUUCUCCUCCUGCUUGGCCAUCUCCUUCUCGCCGUGCGUGGCCGCCGUCGCCUGGCCGGCCUUGCCGUGCGCCUUGGCCGUCCCCUCCUUCACCUUCUCCUUGGCACCGCUCACCAUGUCCUGCACCUUCACCUUCGCCG
This 240-nucleotide long non-coding RNA is filed under the name Oryza sativa (Asian cultivated rice). RNAcentral describes it as "partial Os04g8811". The record is from RNAcentral. Lineage: Eukaryota; Viridiplantae; Streptophyta; Magnoliopsida; Poales; Poaceae.